UCAAAUCCAAAACCUAGAGACACAGAGUUAAGCUUUCUGCUCGUCCAAAAAUGGAGGAAUUGACGAGCAAAAAGGCUGGAAAACCCAUUCGGCUGGAAAAUCAUCGUGAGAUUUUAGGGCACUGAGCGAACUCCCCAGUCCGGCGAAUUUGGAAUUCACACUGAUUACAAAGCUUGCAGUGGAAUUGGUAGAAAUAGAGAUCAUUCCGGCGAUGUAUGUAUGUAUUCUUCACUAACUUUUUGCACUCUUUGCUUCCUGAAAAAUUCAAAUUAUUAUGAUCAUCUAGUCCCCCACUCCACCCACGGGAUUUCUUUUUAAUUGCACCGACUCGCCUUCAAUACUUAAUAUUAUUAGGAGUUUAUCUCUAGUGUUAGAAUAGCAAAAGUCAAUUUGAAUUAUCCCAAAUCAGUUAUAAAUUGUGAUCAUAAUCUAUUUGUAGUAUUUGAGAGAGAGAUCAUUUUCAUCAUUAAAAUUAAGUUUUUGAAUAUUGUAUUACUUGUCACUGCCCUGUUUCACUAGCUGGGGCAUGUUUGAUUGCCAAGAUUUAUUAUUGCUCCACUUACUAGAGCUAAUUAGCUAUGAGCAUUGGGGUGAAAAAUUUGGUAACCUUUUUAUGGCUAAGAAUAAGUUGAACACUUUACAGAUAGAAUUAUUGAGGAUUGUGAAGAGUGAGCAGGGAGUCACACAUUGAAAUCUUGAUUUUGUGGAGAACAGUGAGCAUGGAGAUAGGUCUGUCAAAAUAUAAGAACUAAUCUUUAAGAUAUAUCUAUCUGCUUGUACUUUUCUUGAGUUAUGAUUAUGUGGCAUUAUCUAGACUAGACAAUGAAAUAUUUGUCACUUUUAACAUCAAUCUUGGGCAAUUAUUCCAUUAUAAUUUAAAAUAUUUCUCAUGACUAGUAAUUCAACUAAGAUAUAGAUUGACUUCAUGGAGAUUGUGUAAGAUUUUCAAACAAUUUUUAACGUUGCAAGUUUCACAUUCUGAUUCUUAACAGGUAUCAGGAGCUGGCUCAUAGAGUUGAUGAGCCUUCAGUGAGCUUGAUACGACUAUUAAUCAACCACCUAUUUUUUAUGAGACACAAGAGAGUCGUCACGGAAAUAUUAACUUGAAUGUGAGUAAUUAUUAUCUUUUCUUCAUAUUCUUAUGGUUAUUAUUUCUACUUUAUUGGUGAGCAUUUUUAAGGGUGCAUAUAUGUUGAUAAUUGCAUAUAUGUUAUUGUAGAGCCCUCGUUUAAGCGGUAAGAGUUGUUUAUAGAUUGGUUUAAGUUUUACCUUUCAUAAAUCAUAAAUUUAAGAUGUAUGAACUCACUUAAUAUUGAUGUUUUUCCUAUAACUUGUAGGAAUCCAUAUGGGGAGAUGAACUUCUGAAUCUUGAUGCGGUGUGGAAUUUUGGGCCUAUAGGUGAAGACACUUCAAAUGUUGGCUAUAAAGACUUUUGACUUGAUUUAGUUGUAGUUUUGGUCUAGUAUAUAUAGGUGGUUAGACCAGUUUUUGUCUUUUCUUUUAGUCCAUUGCUCAACAAUAUGAUCGAUGAAAACAAAAAUGAGGUGGCUUAGUGGAUGUACGAAAAGUAUUUUAAUUCUAAUCAUUUGUUUUCAUCCCUUCAAGUUUUCCAAUUUCAAUGUUGGUUUUGUUCUCAGUAAUUUCUCUUAGCAUACGUUAAAUAUUUAACAAACAUACACAAUAUAUGUCAGACUAAAUUGAUGAACACAAUAAUUGGAAUUCGUUUCAUAAACACUAUAAUCACGAUUUACAUGUUUACAAGGGGCAUACCCCAAGUAAUUAAAAAACGAUUAUACAAUAGCUUAAUAGCUCAAGCAACUACAAAUAUGGCAGUUUUUCUGUGUAGCUUCACUGCACCGUGUGACUAUAAGGCGUAAGCCGCAUAACCAUUUGACAUCCAUUCAAGUUUGGGUCACUUGCCAUUUCUUAAAGCACUCUCACCAGGUGGUAACCAUUUGACUGGACAGAUUUCUCCUACCUUUGGGAAUUUCAGCACCUUGUACAGCUUACAUUAGCCAUAAACUCCAUGGGAGGUCCUAUUCCAACCACCUUCAAGAAUUUCUUCAGUUUGCAGUAUGUUGAUCUCAGUUACAAUUCCUUAUUUGGG
RNAcentral lists this long non-coding RNA (2107 nucleotides) under Panax ginseng (ginseng). RNAcentral describes it as "long non-coding RNA (PGIN_LNC004831)". The record is from RNAcentral. Lineage: Eukaryota; Viridiplantae; Streptophyta; Magnoliopsida; Apiales; Araliaceae.